This 77-nucleotide transfer RNA is filed under the name Oscillospiraceae bacterium. RNAcentral describes it as "tRNA-Arg". It matches the Rfam family "tRNA". From Rfam's summary of the family: Transfer RNA (tRNA) molecules are approximately 80 nucleotides in length. Their secondary structure includes four short double-helical elements and three loops (D, anti-codon, and T loops). The record is from RNAcentral. RNAcentral also lists the same sequence under 1 other name. Lineage: Bacteria; Bacillati; Bacillota; Clostridia; Eubacteriales; Oscillospiraceae.
GCGCCUGUAGCUCAGUUGGAUAGAGCAAUAGCCUCCGACGCUAUGUGUCGUGCGUUCGAAUCGCAUCAGGCGUACCA